AUGCACACCCACUCACACACAUGCACACACUCACCCUACACACCCACUCUACACACCCGCUCACACACGCACUCACACACUCAUUCACACCUGUGCAAACACACCCACAGAUGUGCAUACACACCCACUCACACAUGCACACACUCCCUCACCCACACACGUAUGCACACAUUCACACAUGUGCACACACACCCAUUCACACACUUGCACACUCACCACUCACGCAUGUGGACACACCCUUACUCACACCCAACUCACAUGCACUCACACACGUGCACACCCACUCAUACACUCACGUGUGCAAACUCACGCAGCUGCACUCGCAUAACAUUUCACCUGCUGACACACAGUUAUAUACAUGCUCAUGCACACACACAUCCACUCAUUCACACAUACCAACACGUGCACACACACUACACAUACCCAUCCUCACAGGUGUGCACACACACGAUAUACUCACACACUCACACCCAAACACACACAGUCCAUACACACACCCCCACAUAUGCACACACAACACACACAUUCACAUGCAUGCACAUAUAUAUACACACACACUACACACACCCACUCACGCCCAUGCACAUGCACUCCACCCACACACACCCAUUCACACACACACAUUCAUCACAUACAUGCACACUCACACACCCACUUACUCUACACACCAACACACACAUAUUCAAACGUGCACACACAUGCUUGCACUCACACACUUGCACACUCACAAAUAUUCACUCACACACACAGACACCUCCCACACACACACUUGCUCACACAUACACUCAAACUCACACGCUGUGGAGAUGUGACCCGGGAGCCCCGGGGGGGGGGGGGCAACCAGCCCCCGCUGAAGUGACUGAUCUUUGGAAGGGCACACAGGCUCCGAGGCCCUCCCGGGAGUUUCACCAGCUCCCAACCAUGAGAGAAGGUUCCUCUUCCUCCUCCCUUCCUUUCCUGAACAACUUGGUGGCUGAGCAAGGUGGGGGGCUGUGGGGAAGGGUCCUGAGGCCUGAGCCGACCUAG
RNAcentral lists this long non-coding RNA (1026 nucleotides) under Papio anubis (olive baboon). Its description in RNAcentral is "lncRNA (ENSPANG00000042958.1)". Lineage: Eukaryota; Metazoa; Chordata; Mammalia; Primates; Cercopithecidae. The record is from RNAcentral.